Poecilia reticulata (guppy) is the source of this 955-nucleotide non-coding RNA. Lineage: Eukaryota; Metazoa; Chordata; Actinopteri; Cyprinodontiformes; Poeciliidae. The record is from RefSeq and is a predicted model, not a curated record.
UCGCGCGAAAUGUCCCACUUCCCAAGAAGCCUCGCGGAUCUAGAGACAGAUUGCUCAGAUCAGUGUUUCUGCAGGUUUGUGUUUCUGCCGCAAACAGCAGCUGGAGGACCACACCGCACCGCACCGCACCGGACCGGACCGGACCACCUGCGCUCCGGGCAGGGCUCGGGCUCGGCUCGGCCGUGUAGCAGCCAGUCCGCUGAGCGAGGCCCGUCUUGUCUUGGUGCAUCUCUUGUCUGGGGGAAUAACACGCCAUGACUAAAGCAACGUGCAAGUUGGCAAGAAAAGAGUCAGCUGGGAAAGGGUAGAAAACAUCAAAUGUUGACCCUCAGUGAAACGUCUGACUUGUUUGCAAGCCACAGAGGACUGAGACGAAGACGAUCCAUGUCUAAGGGAUCCCAUCCCCCAUCGCCUCAUCGCUCCGUCCUGCUGAGUGUCUGGCUCACAUGAUGCAGUCGGAAUUCCAGAUGUUGCUCAUGGAAUUCUGCUCCAUCUCUGGCCUCCAAAUCUCUGGCCCCUCUCACUCCUCCUUCCUCUCCCCCCUAAAAUGCCUCGUGACUCUCCUCUCCAAAACACUGCAGAGAAGUGAACCAAAAAAAAUAAAAAAUGGGUGCCCUAAAUCUUUCUUGCGCAAUUGGAAAAUUACCUCAUCAUUGUAGCAGCGUGAUACCCCCCUUUCUGUAAUAAUCGCAUAUCAUCGAGGCGUUUUAACGCCCUCCCCAGCCUACCGACCCAACUCUUUGUGGCAACUGUAAUGUAUGUGUGGAAGUUGUUUGGAGAGUGGGUCAUUAAGAAGAGGGGUGCCGCCUAAGUUUACUGUUGGAGCCUUUAUUGGAUCACAAUGUUAGGUUGCGUAAACACACAGUGCAUAACGCGCAAAACACAUUGGCUUGCAAAAUUACUCAAACCACUUUAUUCUUUUUGACAUUAUGUCCACAACCUCAAAUAUUGUGGA